RNAcentral lists this ribosomal RNA (722 nucleotides) under Proanoplomus japonicus. Its description in RNAcentral is "partial 12S ribosomal RNA". Lineage: Eukaryota; Metazoa; Arthropoda; Insecta; Diptera; Tephritidae. The record is from RNAcentral.
AUGUAAGUUUUUGCAUGUGGUUUAAUUUAUUUUAAAAAUAAUUUAAUUUUAUAUUAUAAUUUCAGUAAUUAAUUUUAUAAAUCAAGGAGACUUGGAGAUAGUAAUUUCAUGGAGUAUUGGCUAAAUUUGUGCCAGCAGCUGCGGUUACACAAAUAAUACAAAUUAAAUUUUUCAAUGUUGGAGUUAAAAGUUUUUUUUAAAAAAUAAAUAUAUAUUUAUUAGGUGGAAUUUUAAAUUUUUAAUUUUUUUUUCAUGGUUUUUGAAGCUUAUAAAUUUUAAUUAAAAACUAGGAUUAGAUACCCUAUUAUUUAAAAUAUAAUUAUUAACAUUAAAGUAGUAUUAGUUAUGUUCUUGAAACUUAAAAAAUUUGGCGGUAUUUUAGUCUGUUCAGAGGAACCUGUCCUUUAAUCGAUAAUCCGCGAUGAACCUCACUUAAAUUUGUUAUCAGUUUAUAUACCGUCGUUAUUAGAAUAUUUUAUUAGAAUAGUAAUUUUCUAUAAUUUUAAUUAAAUUAUAUAUCAGAUCAAGGUGUAGCUUAUAUUUAAGUAGAGAUGGGUUACAAUAAACUUAUUUAAAUGGAUUUGAUGAUGAAAUAAAUUAAUGAAAGUGGAUUUGAUAGUAAAUUUUUAAAGAUUAAAUAUUUGAUUUUAGCUCUAAAAUAUGCACACAUCGCCCGUCGCUCUUUCUAUUAAAGUAAGAUAAGUCGUAACAUAGUAGAUGUA